RNAcentral lists this ribosomal RNA (408 nucleotides) under uncultured bacterium. Its description in RNAcentral is "partial 16S ribosomal RNA". It matches the Rfam family "Bacterial small subunit ribosomal RNA", at positions 28 to 526 of the family's 1533-position model. The record is from RNAcentral.
GACGAACGCUGGCGGCGUGCCUAACACAUGCAAGUCGAACGAAGUGGCGCACGGGUGAGUAACGCGUAAUCAACCUGCACAUCAGCGGGGGACAACAGUUGGAAACGACUGCUAAUACCGCAUACUGAAGGAGGGGAUGGAGUCUGAUUAGCUAGUUGGAGGGGUAACGGCCCACCAAGGCGAUGAUCAGUAGCCGGUCUGAGGGGAGGAACGGCCACAUUGGGACUGGGACACGGCCCAGACUCCUACGGGAGGGAGCAGUUGGGAAUCUUCCGGAAUUGACGAAAGGCUGGCGGAGCAACGCCGCGUGAGUGAUGACGGCCUUCGGGUUGUAAAGCUCUGUUAAUCGGGACGCGGUACCGGAAUAGAAAGCCACGGCUAACUACGUGCCAGCCGCCGCGGUAAUAC